This 93-nucleotide transfer RNA is filed under the name candidate division BRC1 bacterium ADurb.BinA364. RNAcentral's name for it is "tRNA-Ser". It matches the Rfam family "tRNA". From Rfam's summary of the family: Transfer RNA (tRNA) molecules are approximately 80 nucleotides in length. Their secondary structure includes four short double-helical elements and three loops (D, anti-codon, and T loops). Lineage: Bacteria; Candidatus Sumerlaeota. The record is from RNAcentral.
GGAGAGGUGGCCGAGCGGUUGAAGGCGGGCGCCUCGAAAGCGUCUGUGCGGACAAAAUUCGCACCCCGGGUUCGAAUCCCGGCCUCUCCGCCA